GUAGGUGGCAAGCGUUGUCCGGAAUUAUUGGGCGUAAAGCGCGCGCAGGCGGUCCUUUAAGUCUGAUGUGAAAGCCCACGGCUCAACCGUGGAGAGUCAUUGGAAACUGGGGGACUUGAGUACAGAAGAGGAAAGCGGAAUUCCAAGUGUAGCGGUGAAAUGCGUAGAGAUUUGGAGGAACACCAGUGGCGAAGGCGGCUUUCUGGUCUGUAACUGACGCUGAGGCGCGAAAGCGUGGGGAGCAAACAGGGAUUAGAUACCCUGGUAGUCCACGCCGUAAACGAUGAGUGCUAAGUGUUAGGGGGUUUCCCGCCCCUUAGUGCUGCAGUUAACGCAUUAAGCACUCCGCCUGGGGAGUACGGCCGCAAGGCUG
RNAcentral lists this ribosomal RNA (373 nucleotides) under uncultured organism. Its description in RNAcentral is "partial 16S ribosomal RNA". It matches the Rfam family "Bacterial small subunit ribosomal RNA", at positions 527 to 896 of the family's 1533-position model. The record is from RNAcentral.